CAGUAUUCAGAAUUAGGAACUGAGAUAACUACCAAAAAGUUCUAGGGAAAAAAAUACAUCAGAUUAUUUAUUUCAAUCAGAUAAGCUUAUCAUAAUAGGUAAUCAAUUACGUGUUCCAACAAAACUCUAGUUUUCAAUUGCCAAUUAAGGCUACCAUGCACCAAUCAUCUAGAGAUAAAUGAGAGUAGGGUAAGUGAACAAAGUGGUAAACCCCAAACAAAUGAUAUUGUCAUUGCUCCAUACUGUCAAGUAUCAACAAUUCAAGAAACACAAGCUUCAUAUGAUCCAGACCACAAAUCUCAACAGAAUUGAGCCACACUAUUCACUCAUCCUGAGAAAUAACGUUUUUGCUUUGCUUAGGGUGGUUAAGAUGGCUCCAAGAAUAUCAAAAUACAAUUUCCUUCACAUGUCAAAUAUUAAGCAUUGUUGCACUACUAUCCAAUAUUCUUCCAUAACUAUACCAAGCCAAAAUAUAUACCCAAUUCAAUUUAAAACUAAACUCACCUUUCAAAUCAAUUAGAUGUUCCAAAAUAUUAUAUUAUUUACAUCUCGAUGAGUUAAUUUUCCAAAACACAAUUUCAAUCCCCAAUUUUUCACACAUUAGAUCCCUAAAAUAGUCAGGAGUUUCAAAAAUACAUAAAUAAAUUCGAAAUUCCAUAAAAUUAAAAAAAAUAGGACUUGAAGGGACUCACCCAAGAAAGGAGGUAGGAAAAGAUGGCGGUUACCAGCGGCAGAGAUGGAGAUGGAGAUGGUGGCGGUGGUGCUCCUUCGUUGCCGCGUGGAUUGUCUAUAUAUGGGGAUAGAUCGCAGUGUGAUGGCAGGGGUGGUGCUCCGUUCAUAUCGAAGCUGCGGUGGAGAUGGAGACGAAUCAAAGCUGCAUUAAAGGUAAGCAAAGAAGAGAAAGUGGCGAUGGAAAAUCGAGAGGAGAACCAAUAUGGGUUAUUUGGGCAAAACACGUAGCUCAGAUUUAUUCAACCUAUUCACAUAUGUAUUGGAUUUUAUAUUUUUUAUGAGAU
RNAcentral lists this long non-coding RNA (1016 nucleotides) under Panax ginseng (ginseng). RNAcentral describes it as "long non-coding RNA (PGIN_LNC015519)". The record is from RNAcentral. Lineage: Eukaryota; Viridiplantae; Streptophyta; Magnoliopsida; Apiales; Araliaceae.